GGAAGUAAAAGUCGCAACAAGGUCUCCGUAGGUGAACCUGCGGAGGGAUCAUUACAGAGUUCUCGCCCUCACGGGUAGAUCUCCCACCCACUGUUAUCGUUACUGUCGUUUCUUUGGCGGGCCGCCGGGUCCCCGGCCGCCGGCGCCUAGCUGCCGGCGCGCGCCCGCCAGAGGCCUUCAAACUCUGAAUGUUAGUGUCGUCUGAGUACUAUAUAAUAGUUAAAACUUUCAACAACGGAUCUCUUGGUUCUG
This 252-nucleotide unclassified non-coding RNA is filed under the name plant metagenome. Its description in RNAcentral is "partial contains small subunit ribosomal RNA, internal transcribed spacer 1, and 5.8S ribosomal RNA". The stretch from base 1 to 54 matches the Rfam family "Eukaryotic small subunit ribosomal RNA", at positions 1778 to 1831 of the family's 1831-position model. The record is from RNAcentral.